This 4426-nucleotide long non-coding RNA is filed under the name Marmota monax (woodchuck). The record is from RNAcentral. Lineage: Eukaryota; Metazoa; Chordata; Mammalia; Rodentia; Sciuridae.
GCUACAUUUGUGAUAACUUUUAGCAUUUGUUUUGGAAUUAGCUUACAGGUAAUUCAUAUGAAAGUUUAGAUUCACAGAUUUCAUUCAUGUAUUCUAUGCCUGAAUUAAUCGUUUUUUACUUAGCAUUUGGCAAAAUUUAAACCAAAUAUUUGAAUUCUUUCAUCCUCAGAUUUAGGUGUUUUAUUAUUAUUGUUGUUGUUUAUUUCUUUUGUCUUUUUCUCAUAGUAUAUUGGGAUUCUAAAUCCUUAUCAAGUAUUUACUUCUGGAAAUAGUCUGUAAUAUAAUCCUUUUAAAAUAUGACCUAUAUGUUCAUCCUGAAUAAAGCAAUUAAUUUGCUCAUCAGUUUGUUUAAUUUGGUGGGAAAACUCCAAAUAAUAUACCUGCCAGGAUAUUUUGAGUGUUGACCACCUGCUGUCCAAUCACGGGACAGAAGGAGCAUUCGCAACCAUUGUCAAUGGGUACAUCUUACACUAAGUGUCUUGAGGGUGAAGAUACAUCAUCUUUUCAGAUUUCUUUUCUUACCGAAGAGUGUAGCUUCAUAUCUCUUGAUUAAUAGAUGAAUGUGACAAAUAGUUUGAAAUGUCAAUAAGGUUCUUAACUAGAGCUAUUAAAUGGUGCAGAACAAUGCUCAUCUUCUACCUACAACAAAACUAUUCAAUAAGCAAAUGGAGGGUUUCUAGAUUUAGUUUUAGGAAUUUAUUUUUUCUGGAAUAUCAUUAGGAAUAUUUUAGGAAAAUAUUAAUUGUAUUUUAUUUUAAUAGUCAGUAAAAAUAAUUGUUUAUAAAUAAAUUGAUAUUGUCUUCAAAUUGAAUAUUUACAAAAGCUUCCAAAUCGAGAAAAAAUAUUUUUAGAUCAUGUGUCUUCAGUUUUAGUUAAGAAAAUAGGUUUUCUAUAUAGACACUGCUUAAUUAAUCACAAAAGGAAGCAUAUUUAUGAAUGAUGUUCAAGUCAACUCAGUUCACAGUGGUCCAGACGGCUAUUUUUAGUAUUGCUGGAGUCAGAGAAGGCUUCCUGGAUGGAACAGUUUUGAAGGAAAUUCUGAAAUGGGUUAAAUUACUCAGAUUUGAGUAAUUUGAUUACUAGUAAGUUGUAUAAUAAAACACAUAAACCUGGGUACAAAUGAAGAGUUAUAUGAAAAAUAAUGAAAAGAAUUUUUUAGAAAGAAAAUUGAUGGUGCAUACCUGCAGUAGACAAACACUAGACCUAGGGAGUCAGAGUCCCAAUUGAGUAUCAUUGUGAUUUUUUUUUUUCUCUUCAACUAAAAUUAAGCAGUUGAAAACAUGAUUAAACAAUGUUUUCCUCUCUAGAUAUAAAAUUGAUUCUAUAAAAUAUUGCCUAACAGAGUGAGAACUUGAAUUAGAUAUGAAAUAAAUAAUUUACUUUUUAUUCUUAAUUCUGCAAAGCAUCUAGGAAUAAAAUUUAGGCUAGUUAUCCAUUAAUAAGAUAAUUUAUCAUGACUCAUGCAUUAUAAUGCCAUAUAUUGUAUUUGUUUCUUAAAUAAUCUUAUAAUAUCAAAAUGUAAAAUAUACAUAAUGUUCUUGGCUACCAAGAAAUCAGUAAGUAUAUAAUUAUUGUCCAAUUAAUUUCAUGGAGUGAUAGCAUGUUGCAAUAAUAAAUUCCUUAGUAAUGUUCCACUUUACUAGAUAACUUGUCCCUUUUAAACUCAUGAAGUAAUUUCUAUUUAAAGUGAGCCUAUUGACCAAGGUCUCAUGCUUCCCAAAUGCUACCAUGUCUUUGAGGAAGAGACUUUGAUUUGUUCGUCUCAUCAGUGGUUUGUUUCCCUUGGGAAAGUAGAGAAAGAAGCAAUUCCUCCCUACCUACAUUUGUUCUCUGGUUAACUAUUGCUUUUGUAGUGAUAAUGUCAAAAUUCAUCCCUGAGAAUUUUUCCUCUAAAUUUAAGUCAAGAAAAUAAAGCCUUGUAUUGUGAAGAGGCAAUUUUCUUGAGUUGGAACUAUUGUCAUAUUUUAGAAAAGAUAUCUGGAGUAGAGACAUGCAUAUGCAAGGAAAUAGAAAUGAAAUGCCUUACCUGAAGGAACAGAAUGCUUAGAAAUACCACCAGCUUGUCAUUUUAAUAGUUGAUAAUCCUAUAAAAGUGAACUAUCAUUUUGAAAACAAAUAUGAACUCAUGACAUUAAAAAGUAUAUUACCUUUUUAUGAUGUUUCAUUUUUCUAACAUAUACAGGUCAUACAUAAGAAUAUUCUUGGUACAAAAAUAAAAUCAUAUAUUUUAUAAAUCAGAUUUAUAAAGGCAACUAUAGAAGUCCUUUUUUUCAUUCCCCCAUCCCCGAAGAUCUCAAAUUUUUGCCCCCAAAUCACUACUAUUAUAAAUUGUAUCCUCCCAGACAUUUUCCCAUGAAUUUAUUUUCAUAAAUGUAUUGUUCAUAUUUACAUAUAAAAAUAUAUUUUUAAAAAAACAUUAAUAAAAUCACAGAAUACAACUUGUUGAAAUUACUUUCCUACUUAAUAUAUGUUACAUUAGACAUUAGUAUUUUUCAAAGAGUGACAAAUGUAGCCAGCAUUAUCAAAAUUCUCUGGGUUAUUAAAAAUGAAGAAUCAUAAGCGGUUUCAGGUUUACUCAAUCAGGAACUUUGAGAUUGAUAACAAUGGGCAUUUUACUUACCUAAUUAGGUGUAUUUUAAUGCACUUUCAAGUUUGAGAAUUAUUUCAUUCUUAAUGCCUGAAAUGAUAUUCUGUCACAUUAACUACAAAUAACCCAAUGAUUUGCCUAUUGUUGGUUACAAUUUUUGAAAUACUUUAUUAUGUACUUUAUAGUGUACAUACAUAUAUUUAUAAAACCUAUGCCAAGAAACAGAAUUACAAUUAAAAUUGUUUACAUUUAAAUAGGUGACAUAUUAUCAACAAAACUACCUGUACCAAUUUAUAUAUUCUCACUAUGGUUAGUAAUACCCAUUUCCCUCAUUAAUACUGUUUUCAGUUUUCCUUUUUAUGUUGUAAAUUUGAUAACUGAAAAAGUAGCUUAAUUUAGGUUUUGUAGAUUACUGGAUGAAGUUGAUCAUCUUUUAUCUUUUCAUAAUCACCUAUUUGUGGUUUGAUGAACUACCUAUUUGUAUCGCUUUUUUUCAUUUUUCAGUUAUAUUUUAACUUUGCUUAUUGAUUUUUUUAGGGAUACUGAUAUACAUAGGUCUUUUUUCUGCAUCUAUCUCUUAUUUUUUAAUUUCAUAGUGUCAUAUGGAGUCAAAAUCUGAUUCUCUCUUUCCUGGUAUUUUUUGGCAGUUGUAUCUUGCCUGAAAAGGCUUCCUUUCAGUCUCCUCUCUCCUCAAUCUAAGAUACUUAAAAAUAUCUUACAACAUUCUUAAUAGUUUUAUUUUUAAAUAAUCUGAUAUUUAUUUAUGCUUAUGAUGUGAAGUAAAGACUCAUUUGUCACCCAAUGAGAUAAGCUUUUAUUCAAAUACCAUUGAAUUUUUAGUCCUUUUUCAUGAUUUAACACAUUCAUCCUAAAGUAAAUUCCUAUCUGUAUUCUAUUUCUGAAUUUUUAAUUCUGUUAUAUUGCUGUUUCUAGAUUUUUAAACCAAGAUAGCACUAUUUUAAUAACUGUUGCUUUAUGAUACAAUUUGAUAUUAAGUGAAGAAAAUUCCUGUAUCUGUUUCUGCCUUCCGAGAUUUUCUUGGUUUUUUCUUCUCCCCAUUGAUUUUAGAAUUGCUUUCACAGGUUUCCUAAGAAUAAUAUUGAAUUUAUUAAUUAAUUUAGGGAAGAUCAACAACUAUAAUCUACUGUAUUCUAAGAAUUAGUUAUCUGUUUUUAAGUUCCUUUAUAUAUUGGACUGAAGUCUUACUCUCUGUUUCCUCUCUGUUUUAUUAGGUUUAUUUAUAGGCAUUUUAAAUAUUUUGAUUGUCAGUAUUAUUCCUUCCCAUCUCCGUGGCUUUUUCAAAUUAUUAACAUGUAAAAAUCCUUUGAAUUCUAAAUAUGAAUCUUGUAUCUAGCUUUUUUCUCAAAUUUCUUUUUUAUUUAAUAGUUUUUCAGUUUUUUUCUCUAAUUUGUUAGUUAUAUACACUAUUUGUUAUAAGCGAAAGAACUUUUAUCGCUUGUUUAUUGUGUGAUAUAUUGUUUUGCAGUGAUUAGGACCUUUGUAGAGUUUCAAAUCCAGCAUAAAAUAAUGAACAUUGACACAGAAUUUGUAUUAACAUUUUUGACAACCUGUAAAUUCUAUGAAUAAUGCUAUUUUAUAGCUUUGUAUGGGAAGAGUUGUAUAUUCUGCUGUGAAAAAUAUUUCCCCCAAAAUUAAAAUGAUAUGGAAUAUUUGCAAAUAUAUUUAAUGUUUUUAAUAAAGUUUGAUUUAUGAUAUGGAAAAAUUUGUGUAAUUGUAUGUAUGUUUAAACAUUCUAUAUUUCAGCCUAAAAUAGCAUUUAACCUUGGAAAGUCAGGAUUAGUAGAUUCCUGGAAAUUGAAAUCCCUUGACUGUAGAUGA